This 707-nucleotide ribosomal RNA is filed under the name Halomonas sp. E3.1. RNAcentral describes it as "bacterial SSU rRNA". It matches the Rfam family "Bacterial small subunit ribosomal RNA", at positions 35 to 733 of the family's 1533-position model. The record is from RNAcentral. Lineage: Bacteria; Pseudomonadati; Pseudomonadota; Gammaproteobacteria; Oceanospirillales; Halomonadaceae.
GCUACCGGCAGGCCUAAUACAUGCAAGUCGAGCGGAAACGAUCCUAGCUUGCUAGGAGGCGUCGAGCGGCGGACGGGUGAGUAAUGCAUAGGAAUCUGCCCGGUAGUGGGGGAUAACUUGAGGAAACUCAAGCUAAUACCGCAUACGCCCUACGGGGGAAAGCAGGGGCUCUUCGGACCUUGCGCUAUCGGAUGAGCUUAUGUCGGAUUAGCUGGUUGGUGAGGUAACGGCUCACCAAGGCGACGAUCCGUAGCUGGUCUGAGAGGAUGAUCAGCCACAUCGGGACUGAGACACGGCCCGAACUCCUACGGGAGGCAGCAGUGGGGAAUAUUGGACAAUGGGGGCAACCCUGAUCCAGCCAUGCCGCGUGUGUGAAGAAGGCCCUCGGGUUGUAAAGCACUUUCAGCGAGGAAGAAUGCUUGUCGGUUAAUACCCGGCAAGGGAGACAUCACUCGCAGAAGAAGCACCGGCUAACUCCGUGCCAGCAGCCGCGGUAAUACGGAGGGUGCGAGCGUUAAUCGGAAUUACUGGGCGUAAAGCGUGCGUAGGCGGCUUGAUAAGCCGGUUGUGAAAGCCCCGGGCUCAACCUGGGAACGGCAUCCGGAACUGUUAGGCUAGAGUGCAGGAGAGGAAGGUAGAAUUCCCGGUGUAGCGGUGAAAUGCGUANAGAUCGGGAGGAAUACCAGUGGCGAAGGCGGCCUUCUGGA